GUCUGGGUGGCUCAGUCGGUUAAGCCUCUGACUUCAGCUCAGGUCAUGAUCUCACAGUUCGUGGGUUCGAGCCCCACAUCGGGCU
This 85-nucleotide transfer RNA is filed under the name Felis catus (domestic cat). It matches the Rfam family "tRNA". Rfam says of the family: Transfer RNA (tRNA) molecules are approximately 80 nucleotides in length. Their secondary structure includes four short double-helical elements and three loops (D, anti-codon, and T loops). Further hydrogen bonds mediate the characteristic L-shaped molecular structure. tRNAs have two regions of fundamental functional importance: the anti-codon, which is responsible for specific mRNA codon recognition, and the 3' end, to which the tRNAs corresponding amino acid is attached (by aminoacyl-tRNA synthetases). tRNAs cope with the degeneracy of the genetic code in two manners: having more than one tRNA (with a specific anti-codon) for a particular amino acid; and 'wobble' base-pairing, i.e. permitting non-standard base-pairing at the 3rd anti-codon position. The record is from Rfam by way of RNAcentral. RNAcentral also lists the same sequence under 1 other name. Lineage: Eukaryota; Metazoa; Chordata; Mammalia; Carnivora; Felidae.